Molecule: unclassified non-coding RNA, 283 nt
Filed under: uncultured Ascomycota
Lineage: Eukaryota; Fungi; Ascomycota
Description: sequence contains ITS1
Rfam family: 5.8S ribosomal RNA (bases 1-105)
Source: RNAcentral
GAAAUGCGAUAAGUAGUGUGAAUUGCAGAAUUCAGUGAAUCAUCGAAUCUUUGAACGCACAUUGCGCCCCUUGGUAUUCCAUGGGGCAUGCCUGUUCGAGCGUCAUUUACAACUUCAAGCUUUGCUUGGUGAUGGGUGCUGUCUGCAGAGACUCGCCUUAAAUGAAUUGGCAGCAGAUUAUCAGAAGUUCUGUGCAGCACAUUGCGCUCCUUCUUGGUGUCUACGUCCAGUAAGCAUUUUCUAGUUUGACCUCGGAUCAGGUAGGGAUACCCGCUGAACUUAA